Molecule: non-coding RNA, 70 nt
Organism: Dipodomys ordii (Ord's kangaroo rat)
Lineage: Eukaryota; Metazoa; Chordata; Mammalia; Rodentia; Heteromyidae
Source: Rfam
GGGAAUGUGGCUUAGUGGUAGAGUGCUUGCCCAGCAUGCAUGAAGCCUUGGGUUCGAUUCCUCAGUACCA